Molecule: long non-coding RNA, 1165 nt
Filed under: Homo sapiens (human)
Lineage: Eukaryota; Metazoa; Chordata; Mammalia; Primates; Hominidae
Description: HSALNT0080650
Source: RNAcentral
AUCAAAACAACUGACUUCUCUUUAAGUCUUAUUUCUGCCCCAGGAACCUGUCCUUGAUCCACCACCUUCUGUUCCAGGCACACAGACUUCCUGUCAGUUCUUGGUCAAGCAAGUUCUCGUCCACCUGAGGACCUUGUCCUUGCCUGUUCUUCCGUCUGCCUGGAAGGCUUUCUUCUGUCUUCUGUGCCUGGCUCCUUCCCCACCUUCCGGCCUCACUUGAGAUGUGAUCUUCUCUGACCAUCUUAGCUGAAGUUGGCCUCCUCUCCCUUAAUCUCCAUUGAGCUAAACAGUUUCUUUCAUCUAGAACUUACUAUAGUAAUUAUGUGUUUACUAGUUCACUGUCUGGAAUCGUUUACCCUAGAGCAGUCUACGAUGUAAAGCCAGGAUGGUCAAACUACAGCGCAAGCUUUGUUUUUGCAAAGCUCUGGAGCUUCCCUCUCUGCUGGUCACUCAUUCUUCUCUCUCCUGCUGCCAUAUGAAAAAGGACCCGUUUCCUUCCCCUUCUGCCAUGAUUGGACCUGGGAGUGCGACAUGGUGGCCUCAGGGGAAAAGGGCUCUCGUCUAGACCUUCUGACUGUCCUCUGGAUCUUCCUGGUGUCCAUGCGGGGCUGCUGCUCUGGGCUGGCCCCAGGGCCUUUGGCCAGUGUCCAUGAGACCCGGAAUUCCAGCAACCAGUUUGACAACUCCUACAGAGAAACAGGAUCCACAUAAGGAUACAGCUUCUUCAUAUCCCUGUCCCAUGACUUCACCCUGCGUUCUUCAACCAAUCAAUGUGUCAGGCCUCUGAGCCCAGGCCUGCACGUAUACAUCCAGAUGGCAUGAAGUAACUGAGGAAUCACAAAAGAAGUGAAACUGGCCGGUUCCUGCCUUAACUGAUGACAUUACCUUGUGAAAUUCCUUCUCCUGGCUCAUCUGGGCUCAGAAGCUCCUCCACUGAGCACCUUGUGACCCCCCACCCCUGUCCGCCAGAGAGCAACCCCCUUUGACUGUAAUUUUCCACUACCUACCCAAAUCCUGUGAAAUGGCCCCACCCCAUCUCCCUUCACUGACUCUAUUUUCGGACUCCGCCCGCCUGCACCCAGGUGAAAUAAACAGCCUUGUUGCUCACACAAAGCCUGUUUGGUGGUCUCUCCACACGGACGCAUGUGACACAAUGAUCCCCACA